GAUAACCAGAAGGGGAGGGUCAGAGGGUGAAGCAGAUUCCCAGCUGAGCAGGGAGCUCAAUGCAGGACUCAAUCCUAGGACACUGGGACCAUGACCCAGCUGAAGGCAGAUUCCCAACAACUGAGCCACCCAGGCGCCCCAAGCAUGGCACAUGCUUACUUCAUUCCUCCCAGUGUGGACAUCAUUGUCCUGAAAGACACCUGUGCAGGAAGCCCUCCUUGAUCCUCUCUAAUGGGGUCAGGAUGCCUGGCCUUGGGACACACUGCAUUUUUGCCCAUAGCGUUCACUGCAGUGUGAAAGCAAUGAUUUUUUAAACUUAGUAACCUACGCACACAAGACUGUGAGCUUCAUGAGAGCAGGGACCUUGCUGCCUAGUUCCUAUGAUGUGUCACCAAGUCUGCUCUACUGAUCGGUCCACAACAGGUGCUUAGUAAAAAUACUGGAUGAAGGAGUGAGUGAAACUCUGGCCAGUGGGACACUAACCUAAGCACACUUGUCGUUGGGGACGUGGGGGCAGGAGCUGGAGGACCACACUUUUGCCAGCAGUUUGCCCCCAACUGGGCCAUGUGCCAGGACUGGUUCCUGAAAAUGAGCACAGUCUCGCUUGAGCAAGUACCUGGGCCAUUCCUGAGUCCUCUCCUGAAUGUCAAGAGCCUUUGUCCCUGGGGCAGUCUUCCCCACUUGUCCUGUCUCCACACCACCCUCACCAGGACAGUAAAGGACUCAUAUGACUGGCCUGGGUCCUGGGGGAAGGGCAGCAGGAGCAAGGAACACACCCCCCAAAGCCACUAUUGAAAUUAGAAGGUAGAAGGGUGUAGAAAACAAGAUGGAGUCACUCAUGUCAAGCAGGGUCCUGUGCAGAGUAAUGAUGCCAGCUGCUAAGGGAACCUCGGCUGUGAGAUAUCGCCAGGUCCAGCCCCAGCUGACCACACACCCGAGCUGAUAGCAAGCAGGAGCAGAGCAGGUGUGCGGCAGUCCAGGACUGAUAAACCCCUUUCAAUGGCAAAGGAUGUUGGCAGCAAACUGUCAGACUCUUCAGCCAUGAACCCCUCUCUGUCUGCCCACUGAAAAAAAGGCAGACACCACCCAACAAUCUGCUCGACAAUCUCCCAACAGAACUGAGAUCCUUCCCGGUUUGAACAGAAUAAGGAGAAGCAGUAAGUGCUGAGAGCUGACCAGGACUAAACCCAGGUCUCUUCUCAACAGUGCUCGCAGACUGACUUCACAUUUUUUCUUUUUUUUUUUUUCUUUCCUUCCUUAACUUCCUCCCCCCUCUGUCAUCUUAUUGGUUGUGUGACUUGUGUAGUGUUCUGCUCUGCGUGCUGUGUAAGAAGCCAAGUCAAUCAUGUGGUGAAAUGUCAUUGACUUUGAAAUCCUGAACCUGCUUUGUAAUUAUGUGAACCUGGCUUUAGGACUGAAUAAAGCUGACAUUGUGGAAAAGACAUAUCUCGUGUGUGUGUGUGUGUGUGUGUGUGUGUGUGUGUGUGUGUCUUCAUAGAGUGCUCAUAACAGAGGGAGGGACCUCUGAAAUUAUCAGGCCAGACCUACUCCCUUUACCCUCAGGGAAAAUGAGGCUCAAAGAGGGAUAUCAG
Long non-coding RNA from Mustela putorius furo (domestic ferret), 1592 nucleotides. NCBI's taxonomy places the organism in Eukaryota, Metazoa, Chordata, Mammalia, Carnivora, Mustelidae. The record is from Ensembl.